Lotus japonicus is the source of this 2774-nucleotide RNA transcript. RefSeq lists it as uncharacterized. The record is from RefSeq and is a predicted model, not a curated record. The transcript is spliced from 20 exons. Lineage: Eukaryota; Viridiplantae; Streptophyta; Magnoliopsida; Fabales; Fabaceae.
UGGUUGCAGGAGUAAAACGAAAGGAAAGGUGGCGGGAGAGAAGAAAAGAAACAGAACAACACUCAUCUCUUGCGGCCACCCAAUAAGAUCGGAAGUAACUGAUAAAUAAAACAAAGCCCAUUAGUUUUUCUUUCACGAGAAACUUGCCGAACCCUCACAAUCCCAAUUACCCUUUCCCUCUCUCUCUCUCUCUCUCGUGCCCUGCGUUGCAUCGCGACUCAUCACAUCACACUUCUCACUCUCUCAUUCAUCCUCUUCAAUUCAAUCACAACCACCAUGAAGGACAAAGAAAAGGAAAAGGAAAAGGAAAAGGAAAAGGAAAUGGAGAAGAAGAAGUACCCCAUUGGUUCUGACCAUUACACACUCUACGAAGAGAUUGGCCAAGGUGUCAGCGCUUCCGUCCACCGCGCUCUCUGCGUCCCCUUCAACGAGGUCGUCGCCAUCAAAAUCCUCGACUUCGAACGUGACAAUUGCGAUCUGAACAACGUUUCACGUGAAGCUCAAACAAUGGUUCUGGUGGACCACCCUAACGUGUUGAAAUCGCACUGCUCCUUCGUCAGCGACCACAGCUUAUGGGUGGUGAUGCCGUUCAUGGCGGGAGGAUCGUGUCUUCACAUAUUGAAAGCCGCGCAUCCUGAUGGAUUCGAGGAGGUUGUUAUUGCAACCGUGCUUAGGGAUGUGCUCAAGGGUUUGGAGUAUCUUCACAACCAUGGUCACAUUCACAGGGAUGUUAAGGCUGGCAACAUUCUCAUCGGUUCGCGCGGCUCGAUUAAGCUCGGGGAUUUUGGUGUAUCUGCUUGCCUUUUUGAUUCCGGUGACCGGCAGCGGUCCAGGAAUACGUUCGUCGGAACGCCUUGCUGGAUGGCACCCGAGGUCAUGGAGCAAUUGCACGGUUAUAACUUCAAAGCUGACAUCUGGUCAUUUGGUAUAACUGCAUUGGAGCUUGCACAUGGUCAUGCUCCUUUCUCCAAGUUUCCACCAUUGAAGGUAUUGCUUAUGACUUUGCAAAAUGCACCCCCUGGCCUUGACUAUGAAAGAGAUAGGAAGUUCUCUAAGUCUUUCAAGCAGAUGAUUGCUAGUUGCUUAGUAAAAGAUCCUUCAAAGCGACCCUCUGCAAGCAAGUUGUUAAAGCAUUCCUUCUUUAAGCAGGCUCGCUCCAAUGAUUUUAUUGGACGGACACUUUUGGAGGGGCUACCUGCUUUAGGUGACCGCAUGCAGCUCCUAAAGAGAAAAGAAGAAGAUAUGCUUGCACAAAAGAAAAUGCCUGAUGGGGAGAUGGAGGAAUUAUCACAGAAUGAAUACAAACGAGGAAUUAGUGGGUGGAACUUCAAUCUUGAAGAUAUGAAGGCUCAGGCUUCCUUGAUCCAUGAUUUUGACGAUGCUAUGUCAGACAUCAAUCAUGUGGGAAGUGCAUCUUCUUUAGCUACACUUGAUGCACAAGAUAAGGAAUUGCCAAGUGCAAACCAUAUGGAAGAAAAUGAAAUGCAAAAUCAAUCAGCUUCUGUUCCAGCAGUUGAUUCUUCUGUAAAUGAUGCCAAGUCAAGGUUAGAAAAAUCUGAUGAUGACUCUAGCAUCACCAGUUCAAGCCAUGAACCGCAAACAUAUUCUUCCUGUCUUGAUGAUCAAGUGGACAAUAAUUUGGGUGAAAAAUCUGAAAUAGAAAAUGGUGGAAGAUUCUUGGAGAGCAUGGCAACCCAUUCUUAUCAUAGAAGAGGAUGUUCAUCAAGCAUCUUACCUGAAGUUACUCUUCCACCUAUUCGAGCAGAAUGUGAGAAGCCACAGAAUCUGCUGCAGAACAUUUCAAUUCCACAAUCAGGAGAGGAUGUGCUUACUGAACUUCCUUCUAGAGCCUCCAAAACUUCAGCUACUUCUGAUGACACUGAUGAGAAAUCUAAGAUACCGGUUGUUCAACAGAGAGGACGUUUUAAGGUUACAUCUGAGAAUGUUGAGCCAGAAAAGGUUGCUCCUUCUCCUGUGCUGCAAAAGAGUCACAGCAUGCAGGUUUUUACCCAGCAUACUGCUACUCCUCUACAAUCAAAUUUACCUUUGUUAUCAGCAUCUGAUGCUUCAUCAUCAAAUCUUUCUGGCUGUUCUCUGUUCCCCAUGUUGCAAUCUGUGUUGCAGACAAAUAUUAUUCAAAGGGAGAGCAUUCUAAGUUUAAUGAAACAAAUUACUGUGGGUGACUCUACAGGUUCAACCGCUUUCUCUGAUGGCGCAAGUAACACAGCACCAGUAGCAGGGAUUGAGAAAUCUUUGGAAACAUUGGUUAUGCAUUACUGCAGCUUGAAGCAGCUCACGAUAGGGAGAAAGAGUUACUUCAUGAGAUAACUGAACUGCAGUGGAGGCUCUUAUGUACCCAGGAUGAGCUUCAAAAAUUAAAAACAGAAAACGCCCAGGUGUGAUUGUCUUUUUGGAAUCGACACUUGGAUUUGGAUUUCAGAAGUGAUUCCGUUGUUGAAUGCUUGGAUUUCUCAAAUUUAAAUUCUUCAUGGACACCUAAAACAUUUAGGUGCAAGAAGAGAGGAGAAUUUUAACCAGUACUAAUUCAUUGACUAGAUACGGAGUGGUUUGCUACUUGUAGUUUCUUAUAGGUGAUAAUAACUUUGUCAUAGUUCUCCUGUUAGUGCAGAUUCAUUGUUGAUAAUCAUUUUGUAAAUUAUUUUAGCGUUAUUUCCUCCUUGUAAAUUAUGACGCACGUGGAACUUUCUGAACCUAUCUAUACCCACGCUUAGAUUCAUUUAAUUCAACCAGAUACUAUAUUCUUUAGGGUAUAA